This 435-nucleotide ribosomal RNA is filed under the name uncultured bacterium. RNAcentral's name for it is "partial 16S ribosomal RNA". It matches the Rfam family "Bacterial small subunit ribosomal RNA", at positions 29 to 507 of the family's 1533-position model. The record is from RNAcentral.
AGCGAACGCUGGCGGCAGGCUUAACACAUGCAAGUCGAGCGGGCACUUUCGGGUGUCAGCGGCGGACGGGUGAGUAACGCGUGGGAACGUGCCCUCUGGUUCGGAAUAACUCAGGGAGACUUGAGCUAAUACCGGAUACGCCCUUUUGGGGAAAGGCUUGCUGCCGGAGGAUCGGCCCGCGUCUGAUUAGCUAGUUGGUGAGGUAACGGCUCACCAAGGCGACGAUCAGUAGCUGGUCUGAGAGGAUGAUCAGCCACACUGGGACUGAGACACGGCCCAGACUCCUACGGGAGGCAGCAGUGGGGAAUAUUGGACAAUGGGCGCAAGCCUGAUCCAGCCAUGCCGCGUGAGUGAUCAAGGCCUUAGGGUUGUAAAGCUCUUUUAUCCGGGACGAUAAUGACGGUACCGGAGGAAUAAGCCCCGGCUAACUUCGUG